GUGUUAUGCUCUACGCACAUCACAAACCUAAAAUGUGUAUAUAUAUGGGAUACCACCUAGUAUUUAUAGUGCAAGAUUAAUUAUCUAGUCACUAUGUGGUAUGUCAAGUUCAUUCAAAACUCAAAUUCUCAUCCAUUGAUUAUCUUUAGCUGGAUUUCAUAUGCCUCUUUUGAGAUAUUCAUGGAUAACCAUAUUAUGGGGGAGUGAUAUGCCUUGUGCAUAUCACAAUCCUUGUUAAAUGUGAACAAUUAUGGGAUGCCGCUUAAAAUAUAUUUCAGAUUAUCUUAUAUCUCUGUGGCAUGUAAUGCCUUGUUUACAUAUGGCAUUCUUGUGCGGUUUUGCCCAUGGCUAUCUUCAAAAUCAUAUUCGGAAAGUCGUUUGAUUAAAGCUAUUUCAAUUGUUGCUUUGCAUGAUGAUCUAUCUAAUUGGAAUGUUAAUAAUAUACUAUCCAAGCAUUGUGUUUAUUUCUAAACUCUCAUGUUAUGCUUGUGUUAGUAUAGAUGAUCAUGUACUUAUGUGGUUUCCACGCAGAAUGAUAACUCGAAAUACCAUUUUGUUUGAGUUCAUCUUAUUGGUUUGUAUGGAUUUAUGGGACUUUGUCAUCUCAUUGUUUAUAGUAUCAUAUAUCUACUUGAGUGAGAUAUUCCUAUGAGUAUGUGUGCAAUGCAUAUCAUAUAUGCUCAUUGUUUUUUCCUUGGUUCAUAUGUUGAACUUUGUGUGCUAUCAUAUGUUGAUUUGUCACUUUGAUUUAUUUUGGACAUCAUGAAUGACUAGUGAUGUUAUUGGAAGUAUUAGUGGUUAUGUGUUCUUUUGUCCAUUUUGUAUCUCCUUGGAUUUUGGUAGGCAUGUGCAUGCAUAUUUACUAUGUGUAAAUUCGCAUGCCUUGUUUGCUUUAUUUGAUCCCAUAUAUAUGGUAAAUCCAUAAAAUUCUUAAUAGCUAAGAUGUGCAUGAAAUUCAAAUUUAUAUCGAUAUGCACAUGCUCAAGUGGCUUUACCAUAUGUGUUGUAGUUAUGCUAACUACUUCGGACCCAAUAAGUUUGGGGACCAUAUAUUGUACUUAAAAUGUUUUAGGUACAUUUGAGAAGCAUUGGGUGCUUGGCUUAUUCAUGAAGGUGGUGGCACUAUGAGGAAAUUAGAGCCAAGCUUGGACAUUUUAUUAAUCUAUGACUUCAUACCAAUGCUAUCUCGGUAACAAGUAUUUACUUCAUGCAUAUAUAUAGAAAUGGGGUAAACCUUGUGUAGGUUGCAUCAUGGCAUGAAUUUCUUGACUCGUUCCUGUGAUACUUGUUUCCUUUCUCAAAGCAUCCCAAUAAUGAUCUCUUGUUGUUAGUUGUGAUGUCUUUGAUGGUUGUGUGUUUGGAGUUUAUUAAUAUACAAUAAGAUAAUAUCAAGCCAUGUGCUAUGCUUUCAAGCAAAGAUCUCAUUGGUAUAUUUUAUGACUCCUGUUUGGAUAUCUUAUUCUUUCCUUUUGUAACUAUUUCAUGUGUACAUGCUUCUUUGUGGAUAUAUAUCACCAUGAUUGUCAUCUACCUAGAAUCUUAUACACGUGAGAGAAGUUACAUCUCUAGUUGGUAUCCCUAUUCCUUCAUGUCCACCGUUUCAUUCUCUUUUUAUAUCUUUGGUGGCUCCAUGGAAGCAUUCAUUGUAUGAGUGCGUGUCUUACCUCUUUCAAUCUUAGUGCACUCAUGUUUGGUGAAGUUUGUUGUCCUCGUGCUUGUCUUGACAAGCCUAUUAUUUCCUAUCUUCACCAUGGGUUGUCACAAGCUUUGAUUUUUAAUUUGCUAUUAGUGAGGUUGUGAACCCAUUUGCUUGAUGUGUGUGUGACCUGCUUAACUUCGUGUGUGUGGGAAGGACAUGUCUAGCACCUUGUAUCUCAUUUACUCAAGACUAUGUUGAUGCCUAAUUCUCAUCCUUAUAUUAGUCUUCUCAAGUGCUUUGACGUGACUCACACACAUCGUUUUGGUUGUGCCGAUUAUUAGGUUGCCUCAUUUACAUGUUGCUCGACCAUAUGUUUGCUUUCAAUUGUUUUGUGUUCCUAUUGAUUUUGGCGGAGUGAUGAUCCUAUUUUGUGCACUUGUAUCCACAUAAAAAAAUCUAAAUAGUGCACAAAUCAUGGGGAGCUUCUCUAUUUUCCUUAGAACACUCCUUUGCUCAAAUCAUAAUAUUCUUUUAUCCUUCUAGCUCGUCGGAUCUUUUGAUUGCUUGCGUCACUUUGUGUUAUGCAAGUGAGAUCAAUUUGUUCCAUGUACUUUGUGCCAUGUGCCUUACUCCUAUGCUAGGUUCAAAGUUGUAUAAUAGUGGAUUCACCUGUGGAUAUCAUAUUCUUAUCAAUUACAACCUCUUUUGUGUAUACAACUUUCUUUGUGGAUACAUAUCAUGAUUAUUAUUGGCCACUUAGAAAUUUUUAUACAUAAGAGAGUUCAUAUAUUUCCUUGAUACCAUUUAUUCCUUGCCGUCCACUUUGUGUGGUGUGGCUUCGGUAAGAGGUUAUGUCGUAAGUGCUUGUAUGCAUUGCAUAUAUCCUUGCGCACUCAUGUGUUUUGGAUGUAUUUUGGACCCAUACUUGACAUGAUGAUCACAUUGGAUAUUCCUAUUUUAUCUUGUCCAAAAUAUGUUCUUUGGAUCUUUUGAAUGUUUUCCUCCCAUGUUUAAUCUUAUUUUCAUAUCAUACUAUCUUGUUGCAUUCUAGAUCCUAAAUAUGGGUUGAGAUCCUCAAAUUUUUCAUCAUUGAAUAUGUGCAUUUGAUUUCACUCACAUUUUCGCGAUAUGCACACAUUAAGGAGGAACUCAUACUACGUUAGCCCCCUAGAUUUUUUCAUCCAUUUUGGCAUUUGUUUCCAAUGGGGGAGAAGGUUAGAGGGUUUAAGAUUAGUAUUUUUGUAAGUGCUUGUUGUCACUCAUGCUUAUCUACCCUGGUUACAUAUUUAUUGCAUGAAUGAAUAUAUAGAUAAAACUCCACCUAGUGUAUGCCAACCAAUAUAUGCAACAAAAUUCAAAGUUCAUUCACACAUGCAUAUAUUGUGGGGGAGCUUGCUCUAUAUAUUGUGGUUCCACUAACAUCAAAUACUUGUGUAGUGUUUUGAUGUUAGUACACUGAGUGUGAUAAACUCAAGUAUCUUUGUGACACUUGAUGCUAUCAAUACUAUCCCAAGUAUACAAUUUAUCCUCGGGUAAAUUGCAUACUUGUGUUAAAAUUCAUUAUAUAAACCCUCUUGUUGAGAUUGUCAUCAAUUACCAAAAUGGGGGAGAUUGAAAGUACAUGUAGUCCCCAUGUGUGGUUUUGGUAAUUGAUGACAAUCCUAAUGGACUAAUGUUUGCAUUGACUUAUACAUUUGAAGGAAAGUUCCAUUUCCAAUGCAUGAAGAAUAUUGGAUCAACUAAAGGAUGUUUGUUCCAUGGUGAUGCAAGAAGGAGAUAGAAUGGAUUCGAAAUGAAUGCCAUAUACAUAUUGUUGUGCAUGCAUCAAGGCUUAUGGGUUGAACCAUGAUGGAUCAAGAUAUUGGGAGAAUGAUUAAAGAGAAGAAUUCUACAUAUGCUUGAAGAUAGGAUCAAUAUGAGCUCAUAUGUUGAGUCAUGGAUUAUUAUGUCUUGAAGCAAGUAAUUCAAGUGAAGAAUUCAUUGUGCCUCUCAAGAUACUAUGUUGGAGCAUGAGAACGAGAAAAUGAUGUCCAAUAUGAUAUUCAAGGAGAAACUUGAUAUGGUCAUGGUGAAUUGAGAUAUUGGUUAUUAUGUCUUGAAGAAAUGAAGCAUAGUGAAGAUAUCAAUAGGGCCUUCAAGACAUCAAUAUUAAUCAUGGAGCAAAGAUAAAUGUUGACCAAGAUAAAGAUCAAAGAUUGACCUCUAAGAUGGUCAACACACAAGCGCAUAUCAUGUGCCACAUGAGAUCUUGUGGUAUGGUAAGAAUUUAUCGAUUGCGCUUUGUGUACUAACCCAUACUAUGUGUUGUUUAUGUUAUGUGGGUUAGGUAAUUCUCAUGAGCUUGGUGCUUAUAAGAAAGCUUGGUGCUCAUCAAAGUAUGUCAUCAAGUAAUUAAUGCUGAUGGACAAGUAAAGAUGAAUGCAAAGCAAAGCUUUCCACAUUGUGUAUGGGGGAGCUACUUGAAGACUUCUCCAUUGUCUUGCCUUCAACUUGAGCCAUGAAGAAACAUCAAUAUAAAGCUGUGACGCCCGGGUAAUCAAGCUACAGUAACCCUGCGCUAAUGAUGCCACGUCACCUCGGUUACUGUUGGUAAACUCGUGUUAGUUCAAACGAUUCAAAUUCAAAUUUAAAAUAUAGGCAAACGACAAAAGUUUUCAAAUAAUAAAACUAAAUACUUCUGGUUGUGCCAAAUAAUGCGUAGGUAAUUAUGGUGGAGAAACCACACUUGUAUAAAAUAUGUAAAUACUCAAAAUGGAUAAAAUAGUAGCAAAAACAAUUAGUUAUACUCCUAAUAUAUUUUACCAAAUACUAAAGUAUUUUUAUUCUGAGGUAAAACUUCUUAGAACAGUGGUUUAUUUUAACACACUAUUUUGGAGCUAUUGUCAUGUUUUACUAAACCAAAAAUAAAGUGUAACUAAAAUAAAACUGNNNNNNNNNNNNNNNNNNNNNNNNNNNNNNNNNNNNNNNNNNNNNNNNNNNNNNNNNNNNNNNNNNNNNNNNNNNNNNNNNNNNNNNNNNNNNNNNNNNNNNNNNNNNNNNNNNNNNNNNNNNNNNNNNNNNNNNNNNNNNNNNNNNNNNNNNNNNNNNNNNNNNNNNNNNNNNNNNNNNNNNNNNNNNNNNNNNNNNNNNNNNNNNNNNNNNNNNNNNNNNNNNNNNNNNNNNNNNNNNNNNNNNNNNNNNNNNNNNNNNNNNNNNNNNNNNNNNNNNNNNNNNNNNNNNNNNNNNNNNNNNNNNNNNNNNNNNNNNNNNNNNNNNNNNNNNNNNNNNNNNNNNNNNNNNNNNNNNNNNNNNNNNNNNNNNNNNNNNNNNNNNNNNNNNNNNNNNNNNNNNNNNNNNNNNNNNNNNNNNGAUCCAGAUCGGAUCGGGCGUCGACGCCCCUUGCUGCUCGCCCGACGCCACGCCUCGGCGGACCGCCUUCGCCGGAGCCGCCCACCGGGCCGCCCCGUCCUCAUCCCCCUCCCCGAUCCAGAACUGGUUCGGGGCACGACCUCGACGCCGCACCGAACCGCGAUGCCCGCCGCUCGACCCCUGACCGCUCCCUCGCCGGACCUCCUCCUCUACGUCGCCGUCGUCCCCAUCCUCCUCCCCAAAGGCUCCACCGAGCCUCGCCGACCCUCUUCUCUUCAACGCCGGUGAGGGCCUUGCCCUCCCCUUCCCUUCCUUUGCUCUGUGCCGGCUGCUGUCGCCUCCCCCUCUCCCCUCCUCUGCGCCCCCCCCGAUUGGAUCGGGGGAUCGAACCGCCGCCACCGCCGCCCGGAACACCACCGCCUUGGCGCUGCCGCGGCGCCCGAGCCGCUCAUCCCCCGCUCGAUCUGGGCGCCUGCCUGCGCCCAGGGGCCCGAUCCCGCCCCCACCUCCGUUCCCGCGCUCUCCAUCGUCCCCGGCCUCAUCGAGCCUCCCCUGCAACGCUGUGAGCAGCACCACGACCCCCCUUCGUCCUCCCCUUCAAUUUGUUGUUGCUGCUGCUAGCUCCGCUGUUACCGAGCCCGCCGCCAAGCGCCACUCCCCGCCGGCCGGCGCGCUCGUCGUGGGCCGCUCGCGCCCUGGUUUCGCAUGCCCGCUGUCGAGGCCUUCGCCCCGGGCCUUGCCCGCCACCGCAGUCGUUCCUCCGCCGCCUUCCUUGGCCUGGCCGCCGGCACCGGCGUGCGCCGCGCGCGCCCAGCGCCCUCGGGUUGCGCCCGCACCCCCUGCACGCGGCGCCCGUCGCCCGCUGCAACCGCUCGGGCGCACGCCCGCACCCGCACGCCCAUGCCCGCUAAGGCCAUUGGCCCUAUGACAAGCAGGCCCCACCCCAGAACGAAAAUAAAAAAAAGGUUUAAAAAAAUAAAUAAAUAAAUAACUAAAAUAAUUAAAAUAUUAAUUAAUUAAUUAAAGAAUUAAUUAACUUAAUUAAUCCUGAUUAGUUAACCUAAUUAAUUGUAGUUAUUAAACCUAAUCAUUUUAGUUAGACUAACUAAACUUGAUUAGUUAGUCUUAGACAAUGACAACCGGGUCCCACCAUCAGAUUGACCCAGUCAACCCCUGUUGACUGCUGACAUCAGCAUGACAUCAUGCUGAUGUCAUAAAUCCCUUUUUGAAUUAAAUUGAAUAGUUAAUUAAAUUCUAGAAAUUAAUAAAAUCUUUAGAAAAUCAUAUCUUUUAAUCUGUAACUCGGAUUAAAAUAUUUUCAACAUAAAAGUUGCUCAGAACGACGAGACGAAUCCGGAUACGCAGCCCGUUCGUCCGCCACACACCCUUAACAUAUCAAACUCGCAACUUUCCCCCUCCGGCUCCUCUGCCCGAAAACACGAAACACCGAGGAUAUUUUCCCGGAUGCUUCCCCCUUCACCGGUAUCGCCUAUCCCUACGUUAGGUCACCCCUAGCAUAACGUAUUGCCGCGUCUUGCUUUGUGUUACAUUUGAUUGCUCCGUUAUUUAUUGUGUUCCCCCUCCGUUACUCCUUUCCGGUAGGCUCCGAGACCGAUGCUGAUGCCCCUGUGGUCGACUACGUCACCGACGACCCCUCCUUGUCUGAGCAACCAGGCAAGCCCCCCCUUGAUCACCAGAUAUCGUCUAUUCUUCUCUAUACUGCUUGCAUUAGAGUAGUGUAGCAUGUUACUGCUUUCCAUUAUUCCUAUCCUGAUGCAUAGCCUGUCCUUGCUACUACUGUUAUUACCAUUACCUGCUAUCCUACUGCUUAGUAUAGGAUGCUAGUGUUCCAUCAGUGGCCCUACACUCUUGUCCGUCUGCCAUGCUAUACUACUGGGCCGUGAUCACUUCGGGAGGUGAUCACGGGCAUAUAUGAUAUACUUUACACAGUUACAUUACCUGUGAUACUGUUCGGAGAUGGGGGCUGAAGGGGCAGGUGGCUCCAUCCCGGUAGAGGUGGGCCUGGGUUCCCGACGGCCCCCGACUGUUACUUUGUGGUGGAGCGGCAGGGCAGGUUGAGACCACCUAGGAGACAGGUGGGCCUGGCCCUGGUCGGCGUUCGCAGAUAUUUAACACGCUUAACGAGAUCUUGGUAUUUGAUCUGAGUCUGGCUACGAGCCUAUACGCACUAACCAUCUACGUGGGAGUAGUUAUGGGUAUCCCGGCGUCGUGGUAUCAGCCGAAGCACUUCAGACGUCAGCGACGGAGCGGCGCGCGCCGGAUUGGAACGUAAGCCUGCUCUUGUAUUAAGGGGGCUAGUUCUGCUUCCGGCCGCCCACGCAACGUGCAGGUGUGCUAUGGGCGAUGGGCCCAGACCCCUGUGCGCUUAGGUUUAGACCGGCGUGCUGGCCUCUCUGUUUUUCCUAGGUGGGGCUGCGACGUGUUGAUCUUCUGCGGCCGGGCAUGACCCAGGAAAGUGUGUCCGGCCAAAUGGGAUCAAGCGUGUUGGGUUAUGUGGUGCACCCCUGCAGGGAAGUUAAUCUAUUCGAAUAGCCGUGAUCUUCGGUAACAGGACGACUUGGAGUUGUACCUUGACCUUAUGACAACUAGAACCGGAUACUUAAUAAAACACACCCUUCCAAGUGCCAGAUACAACCGGUGGUCGCUCUACCUCAGGGAUAUGAGGAGGGGAUCGCCGGGUAGGAUUAUGCUAUGCGAUGCUACUGGAGAUGCUACUUGGAGAUGCUACUUGGAGAAGCUACUUGGAGGACUUCAAUCUACUCUCUUCUACGUGCUGCGAGAUGGAGGCUGCCAGCAGCGUAGUCUUCGAUAGGACUAGCUAUCCCCCUUUUAUUCUGGCAUUCUGCAGUUCAGUCCAUCGAUAUGGCCUCCUUACACAUAUACCCAUGCAUAUGUAGUGUAGUUCCUUGCUUGCGAGUACUUUGGAUGAGUACUCACGGUUGCUUUCUCCCCCCCUUUCCCCCUUUCCUUUCUUUCUGGUUGUCGCAACCAGAUGCUGGAGUCCAGGAGCCAGACGCCACCGUUGACGACGACCCCUACUACACCGGAGGUGCCUACUACUACGUGCAGCCCGCUGACGAUGACCAGGAGUAGUUAGGAGGAUCCCAGGCAGGAGGCCUGCGCCUCUUUCGAUCUGUAUCCCAGUUUGUGCUAGCCUUCUUAAGGCAAACUUGUUUAACUUAUGUCUGUACUCAGAUAUUGUUGCUUCCGCUGACUCGUCUAUGAUCGAGCACUUGUAUUCGAGCCCUCGAGGCCCCUGGCUUGUAUUAUGAUGCUUGUAUGACUUAUUUAUGUUUUUAGAGUUGUGUUGUGAUAUCUUCCCGUGAGUCCCUGGUCUUGAUCGUACACGUUUGCGUGCAUGAUUAGUGUACGAUUGAAUCGGGGGCGUCACAAGUUGGUAUCAGAGCCGACUGCCUGUAGGAAUCCCCUUUCCAACUCCUUGGCCGAAGUCGAGUCUAGACAUCGAAAACUGUUUUACUAACAUGGCUGUGCGGCCCAUGGGCCCACGUCGCCAUUUGGGUGGUAUUAGGAUCUUUUACUCCUCGUCUUUACUCUGGGAUUCUGAUAUCUCUUCUAUUCGGCUUAAAUGAAUUUUGCUAAAUCUAACAUUAGGAUCUCGUUAUCACUUUCACCCGGAGAGCCCCUUAUUAUUGAUGAUCGCCUGCUGCACGUGAAGACCCUGAAGAUACUCUCCGCUGUAACCCGAGAAUUUGUGUCCGUUGCUUUUGCAAUUCCCUACCACCAAAAUAUCCCUAUGGGUAAAUACAUACAUCUGUCGUUCUUACUUUUGUUCCCAGUUGAUCUUGUCAUUGGAAGAUACCCUGAAAUUCUCUCUAUUGACCCGAGAAUACUUUGUGCCUACUGCCUUGCAGUUCCUUUCCACCUGAAUACCCCUACGGAUAAUUUCUCGCCCUUAUCGAGUAUCCACUCAUCCCCAGUUGUUCAUGUGUUUCACAAUGGUCUUUGAAAUACUAUUCGAUCGUCCAAAAAUUCCUCAGUAGCUUAUUGCUCUGCAAUACUUGUCUGCCUGCAUUAUGGAUGCUUUCCAUAUGUCUGGCAAUAUUCAUUGGUAUCCUUAGACACCGUCAUUUUUAAUCCUAUUGAUUCAACAUGUGUGCGAAUGCACACAAUCAUCAAUCGACCCUUCUAAAUUAUCUUUCCGGCUCAGACGUCAUUCUGAACAUGAGCUGGUUCUGGACCAAACUAUUUGUCGUCAAUUGUGCCUCUGGUCUAUCCAACUUAUCCAUCCUUGAUCAGAGUGUCUGCUUCUGAUCCUUUGUUUUGGAAAUCAUAAUUCCUUUGUUAUCUAAGCAUCGAAUUAUUCAGAUGUUCUAUAAUCUGAUGCCCGUGCAAUCUUUCUUCCUCUGAUUGAGUACAGAUACUCACAUCAGCUCCGUUGUGAAUCGCCCGAUCCAUUGUUGGAUUUCAUCCGACAUCGUCCUUCAUAUUCAAUAACCUUGUGAGCCUUUCCACGGGUGUAUAUUGCCUUUGGUAAAUUGUAUCCUCUGCUUGGCCAACCAUGCUCUGCUUUCGAGCUUGUGUAAUUACUUUUGAAACUUGUGGUAUAUGUUCUAAGAUGCCUCGAUGGGUUGAACCUAUACCUUCCUUAAUAUGUGUGAACUCGAAAGUUUUUCACGAGUCAUACUCUUCUGGUAUUUUGCCAGAUAAAAUUUCAACACUACAUCUUCAUCGAACGUGAGAAGUGAAUGAAAGAUUAUACAUUGAAGAAGUGGGAGUCGACCUUGAACCUUGUGUUCAUGCCCAUGGACACGAUGUAGAUCUUAUCAUUAAAAGCUUCUCUUAAAUUAAUUAUUCCCUUGGUAUAAGUUCAACUUAUAUCUGGGAUCUGGCCUUUUGCAAUCGUGGUUCCGGCCAUGUUCUCCUUUUAAAUACCAUUUCUCGGACAAGUUAAAACAAUUGUCUUCUAUGGAUCAAUACACCAGUCCAACCUUUACUUUGAUCUUGUGUCGAGUAUUACCCCCUGGUAUCUCGAUAUUAUCAUGGAACUGCAUAACUUUUUAUGAGUUCUUCAUCAAGUGCUACCUUCCCACUGAUUCCAAUUUUUCGCGGGCUCUGAGUUAUUAAACACUCAAAGACACCGAUAACUGAGCCGAGUCCGCACUACGGUUCAACAACUCUUAGUAAUCUUCUUUAAGUACGAGUUUGUACCCGAUCACGCCAUUCCUAGCCUGUUUGGCUAUAUCAUUGUCUUGAUGAUUUUAACUGUGCUACCCGGUCCUUCUUCUCGGAGCACAAUUUUCGACGAUGAACUAACCUUACGUCGAUCCUCAUCGUCAUACCAUUUCGCCUUGAACAACAAGCUUGGUUUCGAGUUGUGUCGUACCCUUGGUUCCAAUAAUCUUUCACUUCAUCAUUACUUUGACUUGAUGUCGUCGCCGAUCGAUUACAUCUUCAUGAACUCUCGCGACAAAGGUGUCGUGAUCAUCAACAUUCUGAGCUCAUCCAGGAUAUCAAUUGAAUUCAUGAUGAGAAAUACCAUCCUUGCCCUUGAUGAAUUGUAUUAUCAUCGACCACUUUAUUGCCUUCCCACCAACACAAGCUUGUUCUUGUUUGGUGUUAUACCUUGAGUUCCUUGCUAUCCUGCAAUUGUUCUUCUUUACCUUGGAGUAUUACCAUCCUUUAUGUCAAGAAUGUUCUGAGAUUUGUUCCACCUCUUGAGAAUUCUUGACAUAGAAAUACUUCUCACCAUCACCAUUCUUUCUUGGUCCCCGUGUUAAUUCCAACAAGUGAACGGUGUUGUUUGGAUUCUUUCCUUCUAGCAACCCUAUUGCUUUGAAGUUAAUGGUCGGCCGCUCAUUCUUAGUCUUGAUUAUUGAAUCACCAUUCCGACGUUGGUUGUGCAACCCAACCCAUAUUUCGGGUGCACCUUUCAACCAAUGUUUAAUUGUGUAUGUUUUCCUCAAGCAUACAUCAUUAUACCAUUUGAUCUGACAAAUGUUAUCUCUUUGUUCACAUAAUUGUGGAAAUCCAUCUUUUGGUAAUCUCGAUGAAUUGUCGCUGAUUCCACCAGCCACCUCCUCAUCCUCUCAUUGGUUUACCGAUGAACUCUUGUUUCAGAACUGGCUUCCAUGGUUCAUCUCCCGAGAAUCUUCGAUGUCAUCUCGUCAAUUUGUAUCGCACCUUUUCUCCUCAAGCAUCGUGAGCUUGAGGUAUCAUGACACCAAUCGGAUCUGGAUCUCGGUCAGAUAUGAUGGUAGGGACAACUUUCCAAGAGUUAUGAUGUUGGUCCUUUGAUGACCUGGUAACAUGAUGUCAUGCCUAGCACCCCGCCCUGGGUGGAGGACCUAUUGUUGUAGUAUCCUUUUUAGCAAGUUUAGCCAUUCUUCCAUGAGGAAAUUGUAAGACUUAUUCUACAAGUUAUUCCUGAUGGAUCCUUCGUGUUUCCAAAGUCUGAUCUUCACCUGAAGACCAUGUCAAUGCUAUCUCGAAGCAUGUCAAUGGUACUUCGAUUUUCAACAGGAACAUUUGAAGCACGAUGCUAAAUUUUAUUUAUCACUUAUCCUAACACCGUUGUAUGGGUAAUAUCAUGAGAUUCCUUCCCCCUUACCUAAAUGGUUUUCUACUUUAUAUCCUGUCAUGGAUAUCUUGCUCUGCUUGUCCUUGGGAAGGAUAUACCCUUGAAAAAUAUGUUUAAACAUAUUUUCCUUUCCAUUGUUCUGUUUAAUCUGAUGAUCAUAUUUUCCUUCCAUUGGUUUGUUUAAACCUUUUCUAUGAUCUAUAUGAUAUAAGCAGUAAUAACCCACUGCUUGUGCAAACGCCUCGAUGUACAACUCUGUCGGUAAGACCUUGUUACUAUUGUUGAUGACAUUCCGGUAACCACCGAUGGACGGGAACCUUGCCUAUUGGUCCGCCUCGUUUCAACAAGCAGAAAAAUGGUUCUCUUCGUCCCUCGCCCUUGGUACCUAUGUUGUUGCCGACAUGACCCAUAGACUCUCCUCUGACAUGCCUUGCUUACAUGAUUAUGCAAGACGUCACCGCCUUUCCUACUUUUAACCAACAUGGUGGGCCCAUAACCCACAGUUCCACAGGAUCGAAACCUGACUCUCCUGUACACCCUGUUGUCAGAGUUAUUCCUCGUGCUUGACUAUGUAUGUAAUUCACGGGCCACUUACCUAUUGAUCUAUUCUGGUAUCGGACACAAUACUUAUUCCCGUUGCUCUGAACCCCUUUCGCACUCUGCUUCAGGCAAUGAACGAUUGCCUAUCCGCUUGAAACUUCUUAUCGCACUGUCUUACUUUGCUCUUGAUGUGUGUCAUUUGUUCAACUCGAGAGAUACUCAUAAGUUCAUUCUUGGGAUACCCCCAGAUGAAUUUCCCUUAUAACAUCCUAUCAUUGUAGAGCUACCCCUUACCUAUUCGUAAGUAUGAUGGAGUUCCCUGAAGAAAGGACGACAACUUCAUCAUGAUGCUUUGGAAUAAAGAAAUGAAGACAUCAACGAAAGGGAUCAACCUCUUCGAAAGGGCAGCCAAGACCGUGAAGACUCGUUAGGUUUUUCGCUACCAACACCUUCCCCCCCCUUACUCCACCGCUUAAAUCUCGGGACGAGAUUUCUUGUAGUGGAGGAGAAUUGUGACGCCCGGGUAAUCAAGCUACAGUAACCCUGCGCUAAUGAUGCCACGUCACCUCGGUUACUGUUGGUAAACUCGUGUUAGUUCAAACGAUUCAAAUUCAAAUUUAAAAUAUAGGCAAACGACAAAAGUUUUCAAAUAAUAAAACUAAAAUGUUCUGGUUGUGCCAAAUAAUGCGUAGGUAAUUAUGGUGGGGAAACCACACUUGUAUAAAAUAUGUAAAUACUCAAAAUGAAUAAAAUAGUAGCAAAAACAAUUAGUUAUACUCCUAAUAUAUUUUACCAAAUACUAAAGUAUUUUUAUUCUGAGGUAAAACUUCUUAGAACAGUGGUUUAUUUUAACACACUAUUUUGGAGCUAUUGUCAUGUUUUACUAAACCAAAAAUAAAGUGUAACUAAAAUAAAACUGAAAAGAAUAAUAAUAAAAAAAGGAAAUAAAAGCCCCCCCCCUCGCUGGGCCUCGGCCCAGCAGGCCAUCGGGCUGCCAGGCCGGCCCAGCCGCGCCCCACACCCUCCCCCUUAUCCACCCCACUGGGGGAAAACCCUAACCACCCACCCCACUUCCCCCACUCCUCCCUCUGCUUCCCCCGAUCCAGAUCGGAUCGGGCGUCGACGCCCCUUGCUGCUCGCCCGACGCCACGCCUCGGCGGACCGCCUUCGCCGGAGCCGCCCACCGGGCCGCCCCGUCCUCAUCCCCCUCCCCGAUCCAGAACUGGUUCGGGGCACGACCUCGACGCCGCACCGAACCGCGAUGCCCGCCGCUCGACCCCGGACCGCUCCCUCGCCGGACCUCCUCCUCUACGUCGCCGUCGUCCCCGUCCUCCUCCCCAAAGGCUCCACCGAGCCUCGCCGACCCUCUUCUCUUCAACGCCGGUGAGGGCCUUGCCCUCCCCUUCCCUUCCUUUGCUCCGUGCCGGCUGUUGUCGCCUCCCCCUCUCCCCUCCUCUGCGCCCCCCGAUUGGAUCGGGGGAUCGAACCGCCGCCACCGCCGCCCGGAACACCACCGCCUUGGCGCUGCCGCGGCGCCCGAGCCGCUCAUCCCCCGCUCGACCUGGGCGCCCGCCUGCGCCCAGGGGCCCGAUCCCGCCCCCACCUCCGUUCCCGCGCUCUCCAUCGUCCCCGGCCUCAUCGAGCCUCCCCUGCAACGCUGUGAGCAGCACCACGAUCCCCCUUCGUCCUCCCCUUCGAUUUGUUGUUGCUGCUGCUAGCUCCGCUGUUACCGAGCCCGCCGCCUAGCGCCACUCCCCGCCGGCCGGCGCGCUCGUCGUGGGCCGCUCGCGCCCUGGUUUCGCAUGCCUGCUGUCGAGGCCUUCUCCCCGGGCCUUGCCCGCCACCGCAGUCGUUCCUCCGCCGCCUUCCUUGGCCUGGCCGCCGGCGCCGGCGUGCNNNNNNNNNNNNNNNNNNNNNNNNNNNNNNNNNNNNNNNNNNNNNNNNNNNNNNNNNNNNNNNNNNNNNNNNNNNNNNNNNNNNNNNNNNNNNNNNNNNNNNNNNNNNNNNNNNNNNNNNNNNNNNNNNNNNNNNNNNNNNNNNNNNNNNNNNNNNNNNNNNNNNNNNNNNNNNNNNNNNNNNNNNNNNNNNNNNNNNNNNNNNNNNNNNNNNNNNNNNNNNNNNNNNNNNNNNNNNNNNNNNNNNNNNNNNNNNNNNNNNNNNNNNNNNNNNNNNNNNNNNNNNNNNNNNNNNNNNNNNNNNNNNNNNNNNNNNNNNNNNNNNNNNNNNNNNNNNNNNNNNNNNNNNNNNNNNNNNNNNNNNNNNNNNNNNNNNNNNNNNNNNNNNNNNNNNNNNNNNNNNNNNNNNNNNNNNNNNNNNNNNNNNNNNNNNNNNNNNNNNNNNNNNNNNNNNNNNNNNNNNNNNNNNNNNNNNNNNNNNNNNNNNNNNNNNNNNNNNNNNNNNNNNNNNNNNNNNUGCACGUGGCGCCCGUCACCGCUGCAACCGCUCGGGCGCACGCCCGCACCCGCACGCCCAUGCCCGCUAAGGCCAUUGGCCCUAUGACAAGCAGGCCCCACCCCAAAACGAAAAUAAAAAAAAGGUUAAAAAAAAUAAAUAACUAAAUAACUAAAAUAAUUAAAAUAUUAUUUAAUUAAUUAAAGAAUUAAUUAACUUAAUUAAUCCUGAUUAGUUAACCUAAUUAAUUGUAGUUAUUAAACCUAAUCAUUUUAGUUAGACUAACUAAACUUGAUUAGUUAGUCUUAGACAAUGACAACCCGGUCCCACCAUCAGAUUGACCCAGUCAACCCCUGUUGACUGCUGACAUCAGCAUGACAUCAUGCUGAUGUCAUAAAUCCCUUUUUGAAUUAAAUUGAAUAGUAAAUUAAAUUCCAGAAAUUAAUAAAAUCUUUAGAAAAUCAUAUCUUUUAAUCUGUAACUCGGAUUAAAAUAUUUUCAACAUAAAAGUUGCUCAGAACGACGAGACGAAUCCGGAUACGCAGCCCGUUCGUCCGCCACACACCCCUAACAUAUCAAACUCGCAACUUUCCCCCUCCGGCUCCUCUGCCCGAAAACACGAAACACCGGGGAUAUUUUCCCGGAUGCUUCCCCCUUCACCGGUAUCGCCUAUCCCUACGUUAGGUCACCCCUAGCAUAACGUAUUGCCGCGUCUUGCUUUGUGUUACAUUUGAUUGCUCCGUUAUUUAUUGUGUUCCCCCUCCGUUACUCCUUUCCGGUAGGCUCUGAGACCGAUGCUGAUGCCCCUGUGGUCGACUACGUCACCGACGACCCCUCCUUGUCUGAGCAACCAGGCAAGCCCCCCCUUGAUCACCAGAUAUCGUCUAUUCUUCUCUAUACUGCUUGCAUUAGAGUAGUGUAGCAUGUUACUGCUUUCCAUUAUUCCUAUCCUGAUGCAUAGCCUGUCCUUGCUACUACCGUUAUUACCAUUACCUGCUAUCCUACUGCUUAGUAUAGGAUGCUAGUGUUCCAUCAGUGGCCCUACACUCUUGUCCGUCUGCCAUGCUAUACUACUGGGCCGUGAUCACUUCGGGAGGUGAUCACGGGCAUAUAUGAUAUACUUUACACAGUUACAUUACCUGUGAUACUGUUCGGAGAUGGGGGCUGAAGGGGCAGGUGGCUCCAUCCCGGUAGAGGUGGGCCUGGGUUCCCGACGGCCCCCGACUGUUACUUUGUGGCGGAGCGGCAGGGCAGGUUGAGACCACCUAGGAGACAGGUGGGCCUGGCCCUGGUCGGCGUUCGCGGAUAUUUAACAUGCUUAACAAGAUCUUGGUAUUUGAUCUGAGUCUGGCUACGAGCCUAUACGCACUAACCAUUUACGUGGGAGUAGUUAUGGGUAUCCCGGCGUCGUGGUAUCAGCCGAAGCACUUCAGACAUCAGCGACGGAGCGGCGCGCGCCGGAUUGGAACGUAAGCCUGCUCUUGUAUUAAGGGGGCUAGUUCUGCUUCCGGCCGCCCACGCAACGUGCAGGUGUGCUAUGGGCGAUGGGCCCAGACCCCUGUGCGCUUAGGUUUAGACCGGCGUGCUGGCCUCUCUGUUUUGCCUAGGUGGGGCUGCGACGUGUUGAUCUUCCGCGGCCGGGCAUGACCCAGGAAAGUGUGUCCGGCCAAAUGGGAUCAAGCGUGUUGGGUUAUGUGGUGCACCCCUGCAGGGAAGUUAAUCUAUUCGAAUAGCCGUGAUCUUCGGUAACAGGACGACUUGGAGUUGUACCUUGACCUUAUGACAACUAGAACCGGAUACUUAAUAAAACACACCCUUCCAAGUGCCAGAUACAACCGGUGGUCGCUCUACCUCAGGGAUAUGAGGAGGGGAUCGCCGGGUAGGAUUAUGCUAUGCGAUGCUACUGGAGAUGCUACUUGGAGAUGCUACUUGGAGAUGCUACUUGGAGGACUUCAAUCUACUCUCUUCUACAUGCUGCGAGAUGGAGGCUGCCAGCAGCGUAGUCUUCGAUAGGACUAGCUAUCCCCCUUUUAUUCUGGCAUUCUGCAGUUCAGUCCAUCGAUAUGGCCUCCUUACACAUAUACCCAUGCAUAUGUAGUGUAGUUCCUUGCUUGCGAGUACUUUGGAUGAGUACUCACGGUUGCUUUCUCCCCCCUUUUUCCCCCUUUCCUUUCUUUCUGGUUGUCACAACCAGAUGCUGGAGUCCAGGAGCCAGACGCCACCGUCGACGACGACCCCUACUACACCGGAGGUGCCUACUACUACGUGCAGCCCGCUGACGAUGACCAGGAGUAGUUAGGAGGAUCCCAGGCAGGAGGCCUGCGCCUCUUUCGAUCUGUAUCCCAGUUUGUGCUAGCCUUCUUAAGGCAAACUUGUUUAACUUAUGUCUGUACUCAGAUAUUGUUGCUUCCGCUGACUCGUCUAUGACCGAGCACUUGUAUUCGAGCCCUCGAGGCCCCUGGCUUGUAUUAUGAUGCUUGUAUGACUUAUUUAUGUUUUUAGAGUUGUGUUGUGAUAUCUUCCCGUGAGUCCCUGGUCUUGAUCGUACACGUUUGCGUGCAUGAUUAGUGUACGAUUGAAUCGGGGGCGUCACAAAAGCUCAAGUGAAAGGCUUUAGUCAAAGGUAUUAGUUCCUUUGGCUUUAGAUGUGAGGAUUGAUGACCAUCGAAAAGGAUAUAUGCUCAAGAAUGAGUUAACGGUAGCUAUCUAGUAUAGUUCUUUUAUGAUUCUUCAGUUAUAGGGAUCCUGCACUAUUAAGAGGGGAUCAAAGGGGUUAGUGAUGGAUUUGCUCAAGUCAACAUCAUCUAUUUCUAUUCUUCUCACAUCAUAUUCCAACAUAGGUAUAUUUCACUCAUAUCCAAUACAAAUACAAUAUGCCUACAUAUCUCAAAAGAAAAUCCCAAGCCAACUAGGUUCCCCAAAGUAUAUGUAUAACCUUGCAUGCUUUGCACCCUCAAUUUUGGCUUGUCUUUGGUGGUUCUCUAUGUGAGGACCUGUAGCUUUUCCAUAGCUUCAAAACGAGCUCAAGAUCAUCAAAAUCGGAGUCCGGAUGUGAAAGUUAUGCAUGUUUCAGUUUUGGGGUUCGUGCUAUUUUUUUAAUGGCCGGACAUCCGGGCCGGAUGUCCGGGCUUCCGGGUCGCCCCGGAUGUCCGGGAUCCACCCGGAAAUCCGGCCCGCAAAUUCCAGAACCUGUUUUCAAAUGUUGGUUGUGCCCGCCGGAUGUCCGGCACUUGCCCGGAUGUCCGGCCCUUGCCCGGAUGUCCGGCCCGGCGCUGUCACUUACUCACAAACGGCUAGUUUUCUAGACCCUCUAUAUAUAUCCCUCUACUAAUCCGGUAGAGGGUUGACCACUUCAUCCCAAAUCACCCCAAGAACUCAAGUGGCUCCCUCUCACUUCUCGUACACCAAAUCUUAGAUCCCGGAGAGAUUCGUGAGAGUUCUUGAGAGUUUUUCCAAUCAAGUGAUAGAUCCACUCCCUCUCCCUCUCUUGACCAAAGGAAUUUGUGAUUUGAGCAAGUCUUGAGCAUUUCCCCUUUGUUCUUGUUACUCUUGGAGGUUGGAGACUCCUAGGAGGUAGGAGUGCUCCGGUGAGGAAUCAACUUGUGAUUUGUCCCCUGGAAAGUUUUUGAAGGUUUGGAGGCCGCCUCAAGGUCUACCACUAGUGGAUGAGAAUCGCCUUCGUGGUGAUAUCUCAAGGAGAAUAGGGUGAGCCUUCGUGGCGUUGGUGUGCCUUCAUGGUAACAUCCACCUCUCUAACGGUGACUAGCUUCCCUCCAAGGAAGUGAACAUCGGGAUACAUCCUCGUCUUCGUGACUUUGGUUAUCCCUAACCCUAACUCCUUACUUGUGGUUUACUUUGGUCACUUGACCGUGCAUUCACUAUAUCUUGUUGUCCUCAUUAUAUUGUGUUGGACAUUCCCUUGAAGAGAUUAUUUAGGCCUACACUUUAUAUUCGCAAUUCAUACUUUCUACUAUUGUUCUAUCUUAUGCUUAGUGUGAAUUGCUAGCUUGUAACAUUCGUUUCCAUAUCUUGUGACGUAACUUGUGUAAGCUUGUAGUGCUUACUUGAGUUUGCUUGUAUCAUUCAAUUCCAUAUAUUGUGAUACAAUUUGUGUAAGCUUGUAUUGCUUACUUGUGGUUGUGUGUAUUAUUCAUUUCCAUAUCUCGUGAUAUACAUUGAGUAAGUUUGUGUGACUUACUUGUGCUUACUCAUAUCCUUGUUGUUCUCAUCUUGUUUAUCCUAAGUUGUUGGUGCACUUAGUGAGCCUAGUAUAUUUAGGAUUUGUUCUUGAAAAGUAUCCGCUUAGUUUAUUUCUGCAUUAGGAUAUAGCCAAAUCCAUAAAAGAUUUUAAAAUGCCUAUUCACCCCCCUCUAGGCGACAUCCUGGUCCUUUUAAUUGGUAUCAGAGCCCGGUCUCUCCUUAUUAGGCUUCACCGCCUAGAGAGUAACGAUGUCGACUAGUGAACUAGUGCACGAUGACACAUUUUGUUUUAAUGGAACAAAUUACAUUAUGUGGAGAUUACACAUGCUUUGUCACUUUCGUGCCAUGGGUCCAAAUGCUUUGCGGAUUGUUGUUGUAGGGGAUUCAAAUCUAAAGGAUGGACAAUCUCCAUCACUUGAGGAUAUGCAUCUUGAUAGUCAAGUUUUGAGUUCCAUUCACCAAGCUAUAUCCUUCGAAGUGUUUAAGGAAAUCUUGACUUGCAAGUCGGCUCAUGAGACUUGGACCAAACUUGAAGAUAUAUAUGGUGGGUCCAAUCUUGAUGAAGACAAUAUUCUUUUUGGGGAGUUAAUGGUGAUUUCUCCACAUUUUUAAAUCAUGAAGAACUCUAUAUUUCUUCCACCUCCAAUUACUUGGACACUUCAAUAUCUUCCACUUCACCAUCAUGUGGCGUGCCACAAGGUAUUGACAUGGUGAGUGAAGAAAUAUCUUGUGAUGAUGGUGGUAAGCUCAUUUAUGAUGAUAUGCUUGAUCUCCCAUGUUGCCAUGAUAUAAAUGAUUUGGUUUCCUCUAGUUGUUCUAUGACUAACCAUGUAGAGGAAAUCAAGAAAGAUGAGGCAUGCUUGAUUGAUGAAGAACCCUCUUCUCCAAAAGAAUCAUCAUCACCGCCCUUUGUUCACAUGUGCCUCAUGGCAAGAGGUAAUGACGAGGUAUCAUCUUCUCUUAGUGAUAAUGAUGAUAGUUGUAAUGAGGAUGAUGAUGAUGACUUGACUCAAAAUCUCUAUGAGAUUGGGAAAACUCUUCAUAGAGCUAAAGAUAACACUUAUAAAAGGUUCCAAGAUGUUCUUGCUUGCUUUCAAAAACGUAAUGACUUAUUUCUUAACGAGCAAGUGAAAAGUGAACAACUUGAACAUGAACUUGCUAAGGCUCAUCAAUGUCUUAGUGACUUGAGGUCUUUAAAAGAAGAGAUUGAAGUUACUCAUUGUAAACUUAAUUAAAGAGGAUUUUGAGCACCUUGACCUUGGCUACAAGAAUGUCAAAGGAGAGCUCACCAAACUCUCUAAGUCUCAUGAGGAACUUCAAGCUACUCAUGCGGAGUCUCUAGUUUCUACAUGCUCCUCGCAUAUUGAUAAUGAUGAUUUUGCUACUAACUCUAUCUUGUGUGAAGCACCGAUGUUGAAAGAAAAUGUUGAGCUAAGGACUCAACUUGAUUUGCUAACUAGCAAUUAUGGGAAAUUGGAAGAAAGUUAUGAAAAGCUCUCGGGCACUCAUGAGGAUCUUCUAAUCUCUCAUGAUGGGCUAAAGUUAGCUCAUGAGGCUAUGUUCACGAAGGUAAAAUCGUGUGAGUCUCAUGUGGAUAUUAGCACAUCUUCUACUCAAAAUGCCUUAUUUCCAUGUGCUAGUCCUUGCAAUUCCUCUCUACAUGAUAUUGAUACACCUCAUGAUGAAUUUCUUACCUUGUCUUGUUGCUCUAACCAUGAAAUUUCUACUUCCACUAGUCCUCUUGUUUCUAGUCUUGAAACUAACCAUGUAGAGGAAAUUAAUGAGCUCAAGGCCCAAGUUACUAGUUUGAAGAAAGACUUGGAAAAGUGCGAUGAUGGACAUAGUUUUCACUCCAACAAGAAGAAAUCCAUGAACAAGAAAAGGGGGCAAGACCAAGCGAAGAACGACUCCAACAUUUCUUGCUUUAAGUGCAAAAAGGUUGGACAUCACGUGAGAUCUUGUCCAUUGAAGAAAAGGGCUUAUAAAGGGAAGCUAAACGGGAAGCGGCCUCAAGUUCAACCUCAACUUGAAGAACGGCCACUAUCCAUGAUGAAACAUGUUAUUACUUCCCAAGUUGAGAAAGUAAAGAAGAAGAGAAGGAGGAGUACAUGUUGCUAUAUUUGCCGUAAGAAGGGACACAUAGCUUCAUCAUGUCCCAAUGGUAACAUCUCUAAGCCUCCAAUUAUCAAUGAUCAUUAUUCACUUAGGAAGGAUGUUGAUGGUAAUAUGUUUGCCAAGUAUGUUGGUGCCCAAAGUGGUUUGAAAGUGGAUAAGACCAUUUGGGUUGCCAAGCCUAUUGUUACUAACUUCUUAGGACCCAACGUGGUUGGGGACCAUCGAGAUCAAACUUGAUCAAUAGGUGUGUGGAGGGCAUUGGAGACGUGGCUUGUUCAUGAAGAAAAAUGAUUCUCACCAUUCAUUAUGGUUCAAACCAAGUCAAGUGAAUUAUCAUCAUAUUUGUCAUUCCAAUGCUCCUCGUGGAGGUAACUUGUAUUUGUAUUAUCUACAUUGAAAGUUACUAGCCCCAUGCAUGUUUAGGUUUCGUACCUAGCAUGUGUUUGUAUAUGUUGUAUCUCCUAAUAUGCUUGAUUUGUGUUAUCUAGCUUGUGUAAGUUGCAAUGCAUGUCAUAUAUUUGUGUGUGUAGUCUCGAGCCCUUAUUGCUUCAUUAGUUGAAUCUUCCUUGUUUUUUUAGAUAUUAAUGGAUUAUCACAUUAUGGGGAAGUGUUAUGCUCUACGCACAUCACAAACCUAAAAUGUGUAUAUAUAUGGGAUACCACCUAGUAUUUAUAGUGCAAGAUUAAUUAUCUAGUCACUAUGUGGUAUGUCAAGUUCAUUCGAAACUCAAAUUCUCAUCCAUUGAUUAUCUUUAGCUGGAUUUCAUAUGCCUCUUUUGAGAUAUUCAUGGAUAACCAUAUUAUGGGGG
Molecule: long non-coding RNA, 21601 nt
Filed under: Triticum aestivum (bread wheat)
Lineage: Eukaryota; Viridiplantae; Streptophyta; Magnoliopsida; Poales; Poaceae
Description: long non-coding RNA (TAES_LNC015585)
Source: RNAcentral